UACGGAGGGUGCAAGCGUUGCUCGGAAUCACUGGGCGUAAAGAGAGUGUAGGCGGCCUCAUGUGUCUGACGUGAAAGCCCCGGGCUCACCCCGGGAAGUGCGUUGGAAACUGUGAGGCUAGAGUCUUGGAGAGGGAGGUGGAAUUCCAGGUGUAGCGGUGAAAUGCGUAGAUAUCUGGAAGAACACCGGUGGCGAAGGCGACCUCCUGGACGAUGACUGACGCUGAGACUCGAAAGCGUGGGGAGCAAACAGG
Molecule: unclassified non-coding RNA, 253 nt
Filed under: uncultured Desulfarculaceae bacterium
Lineage: Bacteria; Pseudomonadati; Thermodesulfobacteriota; Desulfarculia; Desulfarculales; Desulfarculaceae
Description: contains 16S-23S intergenic spacer region
Rfam family: Bacterial small subunit ribosomal RNA
Source: RNAcentral